UACGUAGGGGGCAAGCGUUGUCCGGAUUUAUUGGGCGUAAAGAGCUCGUAGGCGGUUCCGUAAGUCGGGUGUGAAAAAUCUGGGCUCAACCCAGUGGAGCACCCGAUACUGCGGUGACUGGAGUCCGGUAGGGGAGUGUGGAAUUCCUGGUGUAGCGGUGAAAUGCGCAGAUAUCAGGAGGAACACCGACGGCGAAGGCAGCACUCUGGGCCGGUACUGACGCUGAGACGCGAAAGCGUGGGGAGCGAACAGG
Molecule: ribosomal RNA, 253 nt
Filed under: uncultured bacterium
Lineage: Bacteria
Description: partial 16S ribosomal RNA
Rfam family: Bacterial small subunit ribosomal RNA
Source: RNAcentral